Molecule: unclassified non-coding RNA, 257 nt
Filed under: Hevea brasiliensis (rubber tree)
Lineage: Eukaryota; Viridiplantae; Streptophyta; Magnoliopsida; Malpighiales; Euphorbiaceae
Source: RNAcentral
AGGCUUGGUUCAUCAAAAUUUUUUUCAAGCUUAAGCUUAACUCGUUUAGAAAACAAAUCAAAUAUUAAUAAGCUCAAACUCGGCUGAUUUGGAAAUGAACUGAACAAAGCUAAGCUUUUAUCUAGCCAAGUUUCGAACAGUUUGUAAGUAGUUCAACUCAUUUACAACCUCAGUGAGUUUUAGGUUUAGAAUUAUGAAGUUUAAAAUUAUAGUUUUGAUUAUAUUUAAGAUAAUAAGUUUAAAACUAAAUAAUUUUA